UGAGGGAAUAUUGGGUCAAUGGGCGCAAGCCUGAACCAGCCAAGUAGCGUGAGGGAAGACUGCCCUACGGGUUGUAAACCUCUUUUGUUUGGGAAUAAAGUGCGGGACGUGUCCCGCAUUGCAUGUACCAUUUGAAUAAGGACCGGCUAAUUCCGUGCCAGCAGCCGCGGUAAUACGGAAGGUCCGGGCGUUAUCCGGAUUUAUUGGGUUUAAAGGGAGCGCAGGCGGUCUUAUAAGCGUGACGUGAAAUGCAGCGGCUCAACCGUAUGAUGUGCGUCGCGAACUGUGAGACUUGAGUGUAUUCGAUGUCAGCGGAAUUUGUGGUGUAGCGGUGAAAUGCUUAGAUAUCACGAAGAACU
RNAcentral lists this ribosomal RNA (359 nucleotides) under uncultured Prevotella sp. RNAcentral describes it as "bacterial SSU rRNA". It matches the Rfam family "Bacterial small subunit ribosomal RNA", at positions 354 to 708 of the family's 1533-position model. Lineage: Bacteria; Pseudomonadati; Bacteroidota; Bacteroidia; Bacteroidales; Prevotellaceae. The record is from RNAcentral.